GACGAACGCUGGCGGCGUGCUUAACACAUGCAAGUCGAACGGAAAGGCCCUGCUUUUGUGGGGUGCUCGAGUGGCGAACGGGUGAGUAACACGUGAGUAACCUGCCCUUGACUUUGGGAUAACUUCAGGAAACUGGGGCUAAUACCGUAUAGGAGCUCCUGCUGCAUGGUGGGGGUUGGAAAGUUUCGGCGGUUGGGGAUGGACUCGCGGCUUAUCAGCUUGUUGGUGGGGUAGUGGCUUACCAAGGCUUUGACGGGUAGCCGGCCUGAGAGGGUGACCGGCCACAAUGGGACUGAGAUACGGCCCAGACUCCUACGGGAGGCAGCAGUGGGGAAUAUUGCACAAUGGGCGGAAGCCUGAGGCAGCAACGCCGCGUGCGGGAUGACGGCCUUCGGGGUGUAAACCGCUUUAGCCUGUGACGAAGCGUGAGUGACGGUAAUGAGUAAAGAAGCACCGGCUAACUACGUG
This 468-nucleotide ribosomal RNA is filed under the name uncultured bacterium. RNAcentral's name for it is "partial 16S ribosomal RNA". It matches the Rfam family "Bacterial small subunit ribosomal RNA", at positions 28 to 507 of the family's 1533-position model. The record is from RNAcentral.